Molecule: ribosomal RNA, 392 nt
Filed under: uncultured bacterium
Lineage: Bacteria
Description: partial 16S ribosomal RNA
Rfam family: Bacterial small subunit ribosomal RNA
Source: RNAcentral
AUACGGAGGAUCCGAGCGUUAUCCGGAUUUAUUGGGUUUAAAGGGUGCGCAGGCGGCCAUUUAAGUCAGCGGUUAAAUCGUGGGGCUCAACCCCAUUCUGCCGUUGAUACUGGGUGGCUUGAUUGCGGUCGAGGUUGGCGGAAUUCGUUGUGUAGCGGUGAAAUGCAUAGAUAUGACGAAGAACACCGAUUGCGUAGGCAGCUGACCAGAUCGCAAAUGAUGCUCAUGCACGAAAGUGCGGGGAUCGAACAGGAUUAGAUACCCUGGUAGUCCGCACAGUAAACGAUGAAUACUUGUUUUCGGCGAUAUAAUGUCGGAGGCAAAGCGAAAGCGAUAAGUAUUCCACCUGGGGAGUACGCCGGCAACGGUGAAACUCAAAGGAAUUGGCGGGG